Molecule: ribosomal RNA, 419 nt
Filed under: bacterium
Lineage: Bacteria
Description: partial 16S ribosomal RNA
Rfam family: Bacterial small subunit ribosomal RNA
Source: RNAcentral
UGGGGGAUAUUGCACAAUGGGCGAAAGCCUGAUGCAGCGACGCCGCGUGGGGGAUGAAGGCCUUCGGGUUGUAAACUUCUUUUGCUCUGAACAAGGCAUGCUAAUGGGUGUGUUGAGUGUAGGGGUUGAUUAGCGCCGGCUAACUACGUGCCAGCAGCCGCGGUAAUACGUAGGGCGCGAGUGUUGUCCGGAAUUAUUGGGCGUAAAGGGCUUGUAGGUGGCUGGUUGCGUCUGUCGUGAAAGCUCAUGGCUUAACUGUGGGUUUGCGGUGGGUACGGGCUGGCUUGAGUGCAGUAGGGGAGGCUGGAAUUCCUGGUGUAGCGGUGGAAUGCGCAGUUAUCAGGAGGAAUACCGGUGGCGAAGGCGGGUCUCUGGGCUGUUACUGACACUGAGGAGCGAAAGCAUGGGGAGCGAACAGG